GCCAGGCAUGGUGGCGCAUGCCUAUAGUCCCAGCUACUUGGGAGGCUGAGGCAGGAGGAUCACCUGAGCCUGGGGAGGUCAAGGCUGCAGUGAGCCAAGAUUGUGCCACUGCACUCCAGCCUGGGUUACAGAGUGAGACCUUGUCUCAA
Molecule: unclassified non-coding RNA, 149 nt
Organism: Pongo abelii (Sumatran orangutan)
Lineage: Eukaryota; Metazoa; Chordata; Mammalia; Primates; Hominidae
Rfam family: Metazoan signal recognition particle RNA
About the family: The signal recognition particle (SRP) is a universally conserved ribonucleoprotein. It is involved in the co-translational targeting of proteins to membranes.
Source: Ensembl